Molecule: ribosomal RNA, 392 nt
Filed under: uncultured bacterium
Lineage: Bacteria
Description: partial 16S ribosomal RNA
Rfam family: Bacterial small subunit ribosomal RNA
Source: RNAcentral
AUACGGAGGAUGCAAGCGUUAUCCGGAUUUAUUGGGUUUAAAGGGUGCGUAGGCGGUUUGCUAAGCGGGAGGUGAAAUGCCGGCGCUCAACGUCGGAAGUGCCUCCCGAACUGGUGGACUGGAAUGACUCUGCCGUGGGAGGAAUGUGUAGUGUAGCGGUGAAAUGCUUAGAGAUUACACAGAACACCGAUUGCGAAGGCAUCUCACGAAGGGUUGAUUGACGCUGAGGCACGAAAGCGUGGGGAUCAAACAGGAUUAGAUACCCUGGUAGUCCACGCAGUAAACGAUGAUGGCUAACCGCUGGUUUUUUCGGAUCAGUGGCCAAGCGAAAGCGAUAAGCCAUCCACCUGGGGAGUACGACCGCAAGGUUGAAACUUAAAGGAAUUGACGGG